Molecule: ribosomal RNA, 249 nt
Filed under: uncultured Syntrophobacter sp.
Lineage: Bacteria; Pseudomonadati; Thermodesulfobacteriota; Syntrophobacteria; Syntrophobacterales; Syntrophobacteraceae
Description: partial 16S ribosomal RNA
Rfam family: Bacterial small subunit ribosomal RNA
Source: RNAcentral
CACGCUGUAAACGAUGAUCACUAGGUGUAGCGGGUACUCAUUCCUGCUGUGCCGCAGCCAACGCAUUAAGUGAUCCGCCUGGGGAUUACGGUCGCAAGACUAAAACUCAAAGGAAUUGACGGGGGCCCGCACAAGCGGUGGAGUAUGUGGUUUAAUUCGACGCAACGCGAAGAACCUUACCUGGGCUUGACAUCCCCGGCUAGCCUUAGAAAUAGGGUAUUCACCUUCGGGUGACCGGGAGACAGGUGC